RNAcentral lists this ribosomal RNA (253 nucleotides) under uncultured bacterium. RNAcentral's name for it is "partial 16S ribosomal RNA". It matches the Rfam family "Bacterial small subunit ribosomal RNA", at positions 524 to 776 of the family's 1533-position model. The record is from RNAcentral.
UACGUAGGGUCCAAGCGUUAUCCGGAAUCAUUGGGCUUAAAGGGUGCGUAGGCGGUUUAAUAAGUCAGUGGUGAAAUCUGGUCGCUUAACGAUCAAACGGCCAUUGAUACUGUUAGACUUGAAUUACUGGGAAGUAACUAGAAUAUGUAGUGUAGCGGUGAAAUGCUUAGAUAUUACAUGGAAUACCAAUUGCGAAGGCAGGUUACUGGCAGUGGAUUGACGCUGAUGGACGAAAGCGUGGGGAGCGAACAGG